RNAcentral lists this ribosomal RNA (478 nucleotides) under uncultured bacterium. Its description in RNAcentral is "partial 16S ribosomal RNA". It matches the Rfam family "Bacterial small subunit ribosomal RNA", at positions 28 to 507 of the family's 1533-position model. The record is from RNAcentral.
GAUGAACGCUGGCGGCGUGCUUAACACAUGCAAGUCGAACGAGAAGUGAAGACGGAAACCUUCGGGCGGAAGGCUUUAUUUCGAGUGGUGGACGGGUGAGUAACGCGUGGGUAACCUGCCUCAUACAGGGGGAUAACAGUUGGAAACGACUGUUAAUACCGCAUAAGACCACAGCACCGCAUGGUGCGGGGGUAAAAACUCCGGUGGUAUGAGAUGGACCCGCGUUCGAUUAGCCAGUUGGCGGGGUAACGGCCCACCAAAGCGACGAUCGAUAGCCGAUCUGAGAGGAUGACCGGCCACAUUGGGACUGAGACACGGCCCAAACUCCUACGGGAGGCAGCAGUGGGGAAUAUUGCACAAUGGGGGAAACCCUGAUGCAGCGACGCCGCGUGAGUGAAGAAGUAUUUCGGUAUGUAAAGCUCUAUCAGCAGGGAAGAAAAUGACGGUACCUGAGUGAGAAGCCCCGGCUAACUACGUG